Molecule: ribosomal RNA, 792 nt
Filed under: uncultured soil archaeon
Lineage: Archaea
Description: bacterial SSU rRNA
Rfam family: Archaeal small subunit ribosomal RNA
Source: RNAcentral
CGUGUUAUACGGUCAGUAACACGUAGUUAACCUGCCCUGGAGACACGGACAACCCCGGGAAACUGGGAUUAAUCCGUGAUAGGUCAUCUCAUCUGGAAGGAGAGAUGGCUUAAAGGGGUGCGAGAGCUUCUUUUUUGCAUCCGCUCCAGGAUGGGACUGCGGCCGAUCAGGCUGUUGGUGGGGUAAUGGCCCACCAAACCUGUAACCGGUACGGGCCUUGAGAGAGGGGGCCCUUAGAUGGACACUGAGAGAAGGGUCCAGGUCCUACGGGGCGCAGCAGGCGCGAAACCUUCGCAAUGCGCGAAAGCGUGACGAGGUUAAUCCGAGUGAUCCCCGCUGAGGGGAUCUUUUGUCGGCUGUAAAAAGGCCGGUGAAUAAGGGGAGGGCAAGUCUGGUGUCAGCCGCCGCGGUAAUACCAGCUCCUCGAGUGGUCGGGGCGAUUAUUGGGCCUAAAGCAUCCGUAGCCGGUUCUGUAGGUCCUCUGUUAAAUCCAACGGCUUAACCGUUGGCCCGCAGAGGAUACCGCAGGACUAGGAGGCGGGAGAGGUGGACGGUACUCCACGUGUAGGGGUAAAAUCCUUUGAUCCGUGGAAGACCACCAGUGGCGAAGGCGGUCCACCAGAACGCGCUCGACGGUGAGGGAUGAAAGCUGGGGGAGCGAACCGGAUUAGAUACCCGGGUAGUCCCAGCCGUAAACGAUGCAAGCUAGAUGAUCCGGUCGCAAAUCGCGAUCGGAGUGUCGCAGGGAAGCCGUUAAGCUUGCCGCCUGGGGAGUACGUCGCAAGACUGAAC